CAACCUGCCCACCACUUGGGAAUAACCUUGCGAAAGUAAGACUAAUACCCAAUGAUAUCUCUAGAAGACAUCUGAAGGAGAUUAAAGAUUUAUCGGUGAUGGAUGGGGAUGCGUCUGAUUAGCUUGUUGGCGGGGUAACGGCCCACCAAGGCUACGAUCAGUAGGGGUUCUGAGAGGAAGGUCCCCCACAUUGGAACUGAGACACGGUCCAAACUCCUACGGGAGGCAGCAGUGAGGAAUAUUGGUCAAUGGGCGAGAGCCUGAACCAGCCAAGUAGCGUGCAGGAUGACGGCCCUAUGUGUUGUAAACUGCUUUUAUAAGGGAAUAAAGUGAGCCUCGUGAGGCUUUUUGCAUGUACCUUAUGAAUAAGGACCGGCUAAUUCCGUGCCAGCAGCCGCGGUAAUACGGAAGGUCCGGGCGUUAUCCGGAUUUAUUGGGUUUAAAGGGAGCGUAGGCCGGGAUUAAGCGUGUUGUGAAAUGUAGACGCUCAACGUCUGCACUGCAGCGCGAACUGGUUUCCUUGAGUACGCACAAAGUGGGCGGAAUUCGUGGUGUAGCGGUGAAAUGCUUAGAUAUCACGAAGAACUCCGAUUG
RNAcentral lists this ribosomal RNA (594 nucleotides) under uncultured Bacteroidota bacterium. RNAcentral's name for it is "bacterial SSU rRNA". It matches the Rfam family "Bacterial small subunit ribosomal RNA", at positions 122 to 715 of the family's 1533-position model. Lineage: Bacteria; Pseudomonadati; Bacteroidota. The record is from RNAcentral.